RNAcentral lists this ribosomal RNA (253 nucleotides) under uncultured bacterium. RNAcentral describes it as "partial 16S ribosomal RNA". It matches the Rfam family "Bacterial small subunit ribosomal RNA", at positions 524 to 776 of the family's 1533-position model. The record is from RNAcentral.
UACGGGGGGUGCGAGCGUUGUCCGGAAUUACUGGGCGUAAAGCGCACGUAGGCGGAUCGAUCAGUCAGGGGUGAAAUCCCAGGGCUCAACCCUGGAACUGCCUUUGAUACUGUCGAUCUGGAGUAUGGAAGAGGUGAGUGGAAUUCCGAGUGUAGAGGUGAAAUUCGUAGAUAUUCGGAGGAACACCAGUGGCGAAGGCGGCUCACUGGUCCAUUACUGACGCUGAGGUGCGAAAGCGUGGGGAGCAAACAGG